AGCUAGCUAAAAGUAUGUUUAUUUGUUUUUAAAAUUAUGUAAAGUUUUAUUUUAGCUUAAAAUUUUGGUUUAGUUUUAUUUUACAUGUAAAUUUUUGUGUAUUUUAAUAUUUUAAAAAAAUAUUUGUUAAAUUUUGCAGUAAGGAGAUUUAAAUAUCAGUGUAAGCUGGAUUUAGGAAUAAUUAUAAUUAUUAACUUAGUUUGUGCCAGCAGUUGCGGUUAUACAAACAAUAAUAUCAAAAUUUCUUUGGUUUAUUAGAUAAUUUUGUAGUUAACUUUAGUUUAAAAUUUAUUAGGUGAAAUUUUAAAUUUUAAAAUAAGUUUUUAUAUGAUACUAAGAAAUUCAAAUUUUAGACUAGGAUUAGAUACCCUAUUAUUUUGAAUGUUAAGUUUAAAUACCUAAUUAGUAUUAGCUAUGCUCUUGAAAAUUAAAAAUUUUGGCGGUAUUUUAGUCUGUUCAGAGGAACCUGUCCUGUAAUUGAUGAUCCACGAUAAAUUAAACCUUUUCUUUUAGUUUAUAUAUCGUUGUAGUUUGAAUAUUUUUUUAGAAUUUAAAUAUUCAUAAUUUUUAUUAAAAAAGAAAUCAGAUCAAGGUGUAGCUUAUGAAGGGGGAAGAGAUGGGUUACAUUAAAUUUAUUUUUGGGAUUAGUUUAAUAAUUAAACUAUGAACUUGGAUUUGAUAGUAAUUUUAAUUUUUAAUUAAAAUGAUUUUAGCUCUAAAAUAUGCACAUAUCGCCCGUCGCUUUCACUUUAAGGUGAAAUAAGUCGUAACAAAGUAGGCUUACUGGAAGGUGUGCCUAGAAAGU
This 805-nucleotide non-coding RNA is filed under the name Zoodes fulguratus. The record is from RNAcentral. Lineage: Eukaryota; Metazoa; Arthropoda; Insecta; Coleoptera; Cerambycidae.